UACGUAGGGGGCAAGCGUUGUCCGGAAUCAUUGGGCGUAAAGCGCGCGUAGGCGGCCCGGUAAGUCCGCUGUGAAAGUCGGGGGCUCAACCCUCGGAUGCCGGUGGAUACUGUCGGGCUUGAGUGCGGAAGAGGCGAGUGGAAUUCCUGGUGUAGCGGUGAAAUGCGCAGAUAUCAGGAGGAACACCGAUGGCGAAGGCAGGUCACUGGGCCGCAACUGACGCUGAGGAGCGAAAGCAUGGGGAGCGAACAGG
RNAcentral lists this ribosomal RNA (253 nucleotides) under uncultured bacterium. RNAcentral's name for it is "partial 16S ribosomal RNA". It matches the Rfam family "Bacterial small subunit ribosomal RNA", at positions 524 to 776 of the family's 1533-position model. The record is from RNAcentral.